Molecule: ribosomal RNA, 87 nt
Filed under: Vibrio algivorus
Lineage: Bacteria; Pseudomonadati; Pseudomonadota; Gammaproteobacteria; Vibrionales; Vibrionaceae
Description: partial 16S ribosomal RNA
Rfam family: Bacterial small subunit ribosomal RNA (bases 1-78)
Source: RNAcentral
ACCACUUUGUGGUUCAUGACUGGGGUGAAGUCGUAACAAGGUAGCCCUAGGGGAACCUGGGGCUGGAUCACCUCCUUAUACGAAGAU